UUUUAAUCCCUCUUCUCUCAAUUCUCUCUGAAACCUCACACGAACCCUAUCCGCCGCCAUCAAUUCCCACCCUAAUCUACAUCAAACCCUACCUAAUCCAUGGCCAUUGAAGAUGUUUAUCGGCCUUCCAUGGCUCCUGGGUGUUUGUUUCUGUGGUUUCAUGGCGAGUCCUCGAAGGAAUCUGGUUCAGUCCUUGCUCAACUUCUGUUCAUGGCCUUUCUCCGUCCACCCAUAACCUUUCUCCGGCCAUUCAUAGCCUUUCAAGGCCGAUCCUUGACUUUUUCUGGUUAGAUCGUUAACUUUCCAAGUCUUUCUCACUUAUUUUGAAUUUUUUGAAACCC
RNAcentral lists this long non-coding RNA (341 nucleotides) under Nicotiana benthamiana. RNAcentral's name for it is "long non-coding RNA (NBEN_LNC005233)". The record is from RNAcentral. Lineage: Eukaryota; Viridiplantae; Streptophyta; Magnoliopsida; Solanales; Solanaceae.